GCGUCCCCAUCAGCUUGUUGGUGAGGUAACGGCUCACCAAGGGUACGCCGGGUAGCUGGUCUGAGAGGAUGAUCAGCCUCACUGGGGCUGAGACACGGACCAGAAUCCUACGGGAGGCAGCAGUGGGGAAUAUUGGACAAUGGGCGCAAGCCUGAUCCACGCCAUGCCGCGCGAGUGAAGAAGGUCCCUAGGGUUGUAAAGCUCUUUCAGCGGGGAAGAUAAUGACGGUACCCGCAGAAGAAGCCCCGGCUUAACUCCGUGCCAGCAGCCGCGGUAAGACGGAGGGGGCUAGCGUUGCUCCGGAAUUUACUGGGCGUAAAGCGCGCGUAGGCGGCACGGCAAUUAGCGCUGGAAAAACUCAAGGCUCAACCCCCGGAACAGCGCAUAGAAACUAUAGUUCAUGUAGUCCCGGGGGAGGGUGCGGGAUUCCCCAGCUAGGAGUGAAAUUUGUUAAUUAUUGGAAAGACCACUACGGGGGAGGCCGCUUCUCGGUCCCGCGACCUCUCUUUAAGUCCCGAAUCGGUGGGGAGCAAACAGGAUUAGAUGCCUUGGUUGUC
Molecule: ribosomal RNA, 557 nt
Filed under: uncultured bacterium
Lineage: Bacteria
Description: bacterial SSU rRNA
Rfam family: Bacterial small subunit ribosomal RNA
Source: RNAcentral